AGGGUUUUUUUAGGGGGGGGGUUUUGGAUCCUGGGGGGGGGAAAUUUUGGAGGGUUUUUAUCCCUAUUUUUUGGAAAAGGGGGCCGGGGCCUCUCCCCUUCAAAUUGCCCAGUGGAUAGUAUAGGGGGGGUAAGGUCCCCUAGGGAGGAUCCCUAUGUUUGGGAGGAUGACCAGCCCCCGGAAUUGGGACCCGUCCAGAUCUCGGAGGCAGCAGGGGGAAUUUUGCCAAUGGGGGCAAGCCUGAUGCCAGCCAUGCCGCGUGUGAUAAUAAGUCUUUCGGGUUGUUAAAGCACUUUCAGCGAGGAGGAACGCUUCAGUGUUAAUACCCCUGUUGCAUUGACGUUACUCGCAGAAGAAGCACCGGCUAACUCCGUGCCAGCAGCCGCGGUAAUACGGAGGGGUGCAAGCGUUAAUCGGAAUUACUGGGCGUAAAGCGCACGCAGGCGGUUUGUUAAGUCAGAUGUGAAAUCCCCGCGCUUAACGUGGGAACUGCAUUUGAAACUGGCAAGCUAGAGUCUUGUAGAGGGGGGUAGAAUUUCAGGUGUAGCGGUGAAAUGCGUAGAGAUCUGGAGGAAUACCGGUGGCGAAGGCGGCCCCCUGGACAAAGACUGACGCUCAGGUGCGAAAGCGUGGGGAGCAAACAGGAUUAGAUACCCUGGUAGUCCACGCCGUAAACGAUGUCGACUUGGAGGUUGUGCCCUUGAGGCGUGGCUUCCGGAGCUAACGCGUUAAGUUGACCGCCUGGGGAGUACGGCCGCAAGGUUAAAACUCAAAUGAAUUGACGGGGGCCCGCACAAGCGGUGGAGCAUGUGGUUUAAUUCGAUGCAACGCGAAGAACCUUACCUACUCUUGACAUCCAGAGAAUUCGCUAGAGAUAGCUUAGUGCCUUCGGGAACUCUGAGACAGGUGCUGCAUGGCUGUGGUCAGCUCGUGUUGUGAAAUGUUGGGUUAAGUCCCGCAACGAGCGCAACCCUUAUCCUUUGUUGCCAGCACGUAAUGGUGGGAACUCAAAGGAGACUGCCGGUGAUAAACCGGAGGAAGGUGGGGAUGACGUCAAGUCAUCAUGGCCCUUACGAGUAGGGCUACACACGUGCUACAAUGGCGUAUACAAAGAGAAGCGAACUCGCGAGAGCAAGCGGACCUCAUAAAGUACGUCGUAGUCCGGAUCGGAGUCUGCAACUCGACUUCCGUGAAGUCGGAAUCGCUAGUAAUCGAGAUCGAAUGUGCCUUGCCAAAUACGUUCCCGGGGCCUGUACCCCCCCCGUCACCAUGGGAGUGGUU
This 1281-nucleotide ribosomal RNA is filed under the name uncultured Serratia sp. RNAcentral's name for it is "partial 16S ribosomal RNA". It matches the Rfam family "Bacterial small subunit ribosomal RNA", at positions 116 to 1415 of the family's 1533-position model. The record is from RNAcentral. Lineage: Bacteria; Pseudomonadati; Pseudomonadota; Gammaproteobacteria; Enterobacterales; Yersiniaceae.